Ceratina calcarata is the source of this 4670-nucleotide long non-coding RNA. RefSeq lists it as uncharacterized. The record is from RefSeq and is a predicted model, not a curated record. The transcript has 5 exons. NCBI's taxonomy places the organism in Eukaryota, Metazoa, Arthropoda, Insecta, Hymenoptera, Apidae.
CUCAAUCUGAAACAAUAGAACGACCGUUACCGUUAACGAACGCGUUUUAAGAAAGUAUGUACUCAUCCCUUUGAACGAAUCAAUCGGCUCGUGCGUGUAACCUCGAUAGUUUACUUGUUAACGAUCGAAGUCGUCAUCCUUUCGAUAGAAGGAUUUCACGACGGAAAGAAAUACAAAAUUCUGUUACGAGUAUCUUUAAUCUAAAAGUAACUAUUGUUAUUUAUACUUUGCUACCCUGAAAAGUUCAAUGCGGCUAUCGAUGUCCUAAGAAGAAUUUCCAAUUAGAAAACUGACAUCAACGACUUGAACCGCAAUCUAAUAUGAACAUUAUGAACUGAGUAGCGUUUUCUAUAACUGCGAUACGCUUCUGUUUGCGGCGUCUGUAAGUAAAGAGUAAUCGGACCCAAAAAGAGCUUAGCCAGACUUUUUUCUCUGGAGCUGGUCAGAUAACAGAAGAAAAUCUGAUCUAAACGCCGUUUGAGACCAUUAUAAUUACCUUUGAAACGAGGAAUCGAAUCAUGAUCCUUUCUAUUCUUAGCGUGAAUAAUAAAAAGAGGACGUCGGGUAUGCAUGCAUGCAUGUUCGAAACGACAUAAAGCUGGAAUCUAGCAGCGUCGGCGAACGUAUCGGUUCAUUGUUGCUAUCGUUUUGCUGAGAAAGGAACGAGGACUAUAUACGGACACGUCAUGGAAAGACCUAUCGAUAUUGUACGCUUCUCUGCAACGCUUUCAAUGCAUUAUUGACAAUUCGACGGGAUUCCAUGAAGUACGUAGAAUACUGUAAUGGGCAACUUCGCUUCGGACUUCGAUCCUAAAUGGUGGAACUUCUUCGACGAAAGAUCUUUAUUGAUUUUCUGUACCCAUUAAAUGUCGUAUUAAAUUUUAAAAAGAGAAUCCGAGGAGGUCCGCUCGUUUUUCUUUUGGGAGACGCAGACUGCACGCUUGCGAGCGUAUAAUAAAUUCCGGGCGAAUAACGGCACCGUUUCUGGCGAAUGCAAAGAAAACGAUAACAGAUGAACAAAGAUUGGAAGGACAGCUGAGGACAUUCCAAGAUCGAGAGAGCACAGAUAAGCACGCGGGCUGUGCCACUAGGAGAUGAGUCGUUUCAAGGGAUACGCUGCAGCGGUGGGUCACCAUCGACAAGGCUGUGUAUAGGUCCUUAUAUGGUAGUCGAUCGUACGACUGUAUAUAGAGAGCUGGAAAGAGGCUGAGCGAGUACGCAACCACGGCACAUAUGUGCACGUCCUUUACGUAUAUUACGUUGUACAUAUUCUCUAUCCUCGGCCGGGUACACGGUACGCGUGUAGGAGUAUUGCAUCAAGUGCACGCAUACCGAGGCAUCUGUUCAUACGUGUCCUGCGUAACGGUAACAAAACGAAGAGGAGAUCGGCUCGAUUAGUUGUACAGUUAGCCCAUUUGGUAACGCUCGCUCGAGACGAAUCCUACCGAAGCGUCUGUACACGCGACAUGAAAAAUCUUUAUACGAGGUCGGACAGUUUCGCGGCAAAGUCGGCCGAUUUCACGAAAAUGAGGAAAGCGCCGAUGGUGCUCGAAGAUGUCUAUCUGAUUUGAUUAUCACGGGUACGGAGGACUGGAAACGGUCUCUGUACGCCAAUGCCCAAAGAGAAAUCACGAUAAAUCCUACUUGAUCUCGCAGGGAGAAAAGAGGUCUGCGAGUUAAUAAGGAAACUAGGUUGCUCGCACCGACGCGCUAGCCAGUUUGCAGGACGCGUCGGUGUAUGCCACGCUCCGACGAGUCUUGCUCAUCAUGAGAUCGAACGUAUCAUAAGAUUUAGGUUUCUCUGUUCUGUACUCUCGUCUAUGAACAACUCUUGAUAUCGUCGUUUAACACUAAUCGUACUCUACAUGAAUGCGAUCGUCCGGAACCGAUCGGCUGUGAAAUCCAGUGGGAUCGAUGAGCUACGAUUAAUUCUAGAAGGGUUUCUGACUGGACACUGUUGCGGCCAUCUGGUAAAGAGAGAUCUCACGGUUGGCGGCUAACGAGUUCGCGCUGCCUGCCAAUUAACUUAGGUAAUCGCUUUUAAUGGAGGACCCUCAAUGGCGUAUGCAGCGAUUCGUUUACAUACUCCGGCUGUAUCGACUGGUUGGUCGCUGCAAGUGGUAGGCUGCAGAAACGCACAGCCACCUACGUGCACCGUUAACAUGCCCACGUAAAACCGUGCGGAGCGGCCAGGAAAAUGCAUUUUGUCUACGACGAUUCCGUGUCGCGCUCCUACUACUACGACCGAUACAAAUGCGCUCUUUCUUCCUCGUCCUGCUCCUCGUCUCCCUCGCACUUUCGUGCAACCGUGACGGCUAACGAACCCUGGACGCACGCGUAUCGUAUUGAGCGGUGGCGCGUAAACUCAGGGGCGUGUUACGUGUUACCAAGCGGUUCGUCCUGCUCCUGAUCCUGUAUGUCUCUAUCCUUUUCGCACAAUGAAUCAUUUCAGGACCGAAUUCAUCUGACUAAUACCAAGUUGACUAACUUCUAAUGGGCAACUGUAGAACACGCAACUGCAGAGUGCAAUUUCUUCUCUUAUAUGCAUGCACCGAUCAGCUUUCGAGUGAUUCGGCAAGAAGGGAAAUUCAGAAUUCAAUGCUCGAAAGCCACGUUAGUGAAUUAUGUCGCGGUAGUUGCCGCGGAGGAGAUCCUCUUUAGCGGUCAAGAUUUCGUGAACAAGUAUGAAGUGUGGCAAGAUUCAGAACGGGAUGCUUGUUAACGAAAAGUGGAUCGUAUUCAAAAGUUCAUUCAUUCACACAGGCGAUUUAAAUCUGAACAACGUUACGUUAUUAGUUAAAAAGAGAUUUUCUGUUCACGUCGAAUUUCUCUUCUCAUAUAAAAAUUGCAAUAUCCACAUUCAACUCUUUAUGUCUUCUGUACUCUACUAUAAAUGCCGUAUGGUACAUUAAGGUGGUUUUGGCUUGUGCCACUGGCCGGGAUCGACCUUGAAGACGUCGAAGAUGUGCCAGGGCAGAAUAUUUGUCUUCCGGGAUCUGAAUGAAAUAGCGGUGCGCGCGCGCCUCCCGUAUCCGUAAACGCGCGUGUACGGUUUUAGCUCGGGGUUGCACCAGGGGAGCGGCCGACUACUGGCAGACGGUUUCAUCGAUUGGCAAUGCGGGGGUCGAAGCGUGGGGUUCCUGAACUCUCCCCGGCUAUCUAUACGUACUGUAUAAACGUAUCGACGACCUCGGGUUUCAUGGUCAAUGGUAAAAAGGUUGAUUUUUUAAUACCUCGCGUGGGAUUCACCUCGAUCUACGAUUCAUUUACCGCUGAGAUGAAUUUAUGUACGCGAUGAAUAUGUAUCGGAAUCGCGAAAUACCGCGUUACGUUCUAUUUCCAAUAUGUCCACGAAACAAAUAUAUCUUUCUAACAUAAUGAUAAAUUCGGUUUAAGCUCCUAAGUGUAAAUAGUAAUGACAACUUUUAUCUUGCGUCGAGUAGUAAGUUUGCGGUAAGAUAAAAGUUAUCAUUAAAAAUACGACUCGUUGCAAGCGCAAAGAACGUCGCAAAUAAAAAUCGCAUUCGCGGUACGAAUCGAUAAAUAAAAUUUCUAGAAUACUUUACUUAUUCGUGCUCGCUUGCCUUGAAGCGAGCGAACUCGUUCGCGACAUGAUAACAUGCAAAUACCGCUGGAAUCUCCCUUAUGAAGGUACCAGAUGUAAAAACGGCUACAUUUAAUUAACGAAGAACGUGAUUCGAAUCGCACGCCGAUAAACAGAAUUACGAGUCAUAUAAAAUUGUCUAUUAUUCAAAUUAGGUAUCUAAAUAACUUGUGGACUGAAAACGAUUGGCUUGAUCUUCGUCAAGAUGAUCAAGAGCCUGGCUUGUGACAAAGGACAGGAAAUGACCGCGACUUCGAGGGACAGGAGCACGUUAGUCAGUCGGCUAGCAGGAACGCAUUUGCGUGCCUGAUGCGCAUCCGAGUGUAUCUGUCAAAACCACGCCCUUGACCCAUCCUACGACUACAUAGGGACACGAAGAAAUUCUGGAAUUAAGUGUAGCACGACGUCCGUGAACCUCCGCCGGGUAUGACUCAUUCAAACGCCAGUUAUCGUUCUCGAUAUUCGCCGGCGCUACGCAGAAGUAUUAUGUUCACAGAUCGUACAAAACACAAAGGGGGAUAGUAAUUCGAAGUAAUAAUGAUGUUCUCGUUAUCAAACGUAUAAGCGUUAAAUAAAAGUGUGACGUCGACGCAACGAAGAACGGUCAGAUGAAAUAUUUCCAACGCCCACGCGAGAAAAGAAGAAAUAAUGGGAAACCUGUUGGCUCGCGACCGAUGGAUUCAGAUUCGGUACGUGCACAGAACGCGUAUGGUGUGAAUUGACCACACCCCUCCAUUUUCGAAUAACGAAAACGAUCGAUACCCUGUCGAAAGCUUGUUUUAUCAAGUUACGUAUUCGACGAUUUUCAAAAUUGACUCGAAGCGCGACUUUCGAAGACCGAGCGUCUCCGGGUCAAUUUACGCCGGGUCAAAAAACACGUUUACACACGAUCGUGUCGAAGUCUUUGGAACCGUAGAACGCCGGUUCCCCUUGACGAUAUCAAAGAAUCGAGAUCCUACGUAUACGUUUCUUUCUGUUUACUCGAAGGAGAAUCGCGAUGGUUCGUUUAAAUUAAACAACGAUAGCGAUUAGAACGCACCAGUGAGAAAGAGCACUGACCUUACAG